This 77-nucleotide transfer RNA is filed under the name Alphaproteobacteria bacterium. RNAcentral's name for it is "tRNA-Arg". It matches the Rfam family "tRNA". From Rfam's summary of the family: Transfer RNA (tRNA) molecules are approximately 80 nucleotides in length. RNAcentral also lists the same sequence under 13 other names. Lineage: Bacteria; Pseudomonadati; Pseudomonadota; Alphaproteobacteria. The record is from RNAcentral.
GCACUCGUAGCUCAGCUGGAUAGAGCGCUGCCCUCCGAAGGCAGAGGUCACAGGUUCGAAUCCUGUCGAGUGCGCCA